GCCCCCUCCCUUUAUCUCAAAGUUUCAAACACAUGCCUACCAAAGUUUAUAUUGCCCAAAUUUAAAAGUUAUGGUAAGAUAUGGCCGAAGAUAUGGUGUUUUAUUUAUCGAUUCAUACUAAAACAGAUUAUAUCUUUGUAGAUGAAGAAUGGGUUGUAUGGAGAUCUCAAAGAAUGAAUCUUAGGGGAAUUGAUAGAAAAAAAGAGAAAAGUACAAAUGGCUUGUAAUUUUGUUAUAUUUUAAGAAUAAGAUUUUCUUGAUUUUGAUUGUAUAUUUUGUUAGCGAUGUAAUGAAAUUUGCUUGUAAUGACUUAU
Molecule: long non-coding RNA, 314 nt
Organism: Erigeron canadensis
Lineage: Eukaryota; Viridiplantae; Streptophyta; Magnoliopsida; Asterales; Asteraceae
Exons: 4
Source: RefSeq, a predicted model, not a curated record